This 253-nucleotide ribosomal RNA is filed under the name uncultured bacterium. RNAcentral describes it as "partial 16S ribosomal RNA". It matches the Rfam family "Bacterial small subunit ribosomal RNA", at positions 524 to 776 of the family's 1533-position model. The record is from RNAcentral.
UACGUAGGGUGCAAGCGUUAAUCGGAAUUAUUGGGCGUAAAGCGUCCGCAGGUGGCGAUUCAAGUCUGCGGUCAAAGACUGGGGCUUAACCCUGGAAAGGCCGUGGAAACUGAAUAGCUAGAGUGCAGUAGGGGUAGAGGGAAUUCCCGGUGUAGCGGUGAAAUGCGUAGAGCUCGGGAAGAACAUCGGUGGCGAAAGCGCUCUGCUGGACUGCAACUGACACUCAGGGACGAAAGCUAGGGGAGCGAAUGGG